UCAUAAAAUUUUAUUUUGUAAGUUUUGGGGGUGCACCUACAUAAAUGAGGUAAACGAUGCGGGUGCUCCAUUCGUGAUCACUCACAACAGCUUAUCCUGAAAACUUUUUAGGGCGUUGUAUGGAAGAUAUUUUUUCGCUUUUCUAAGGAAUUACGCUAUAAUUGCACGUAUACAUAUACAUAUGCAUUGUCGUCAGAGGUAGAAGUAAUGGAAAAUCGUUUCCAGUAAAUUAUGGAAUGUGCUUGUCGGAUAUAUAUAAGAGGGCGAACGAAUUUCUUUAUCCAAACAUCGGUAGAGAGGUGUGUUAUACAGUGCUUAGUAGCGACUAUUUACAUAAAUAAACGAUAUAACAAUAUUGAGAAAAGACAAUGGGAAGGAAAAAAACUGAUUUGCAAAAUUACGUUAAGUACGAUGAAACUACCAAGAAAAGUACCUGCAUUGUAGAGUCGUGUAAAAGAGAGCUUACUGGAUUAUUGCGAGGAAAUAUUAAAAGACAUUAUAAACUUAUACACAAAAUAGAUAUAGAAAAUAGUGAUGACAGUGAUGAUGAUAAUACUUCUACCACAAAAAAACGAAAAACCGUGUCAAAGUUAAGUACUAGUUUAGACAGAGACAGUUUUUUGAGAUGCUGCGUGGGACUGGUCACCAAAAAAAAUAUUCCCUUUCGAAUAUUUGAUGAGGAAUAUUUUAAACAACUUAUAUCACCAUACGAGCAGAAGUUUGGUAUACAUUUAAACUCAAAGAACAUAGCCUUCUUGACAAAGCAAGUCAACAAAUUAAGCAAAAAAUAGGUCAUUCGGUAAAAAAUAAAAUAAUAUCUAUAAAAAUUGACAUCGCAACUCGCAUGGAAAGAAGCGUGCUGGGGAUCAACAUCCAAUACAUUAAAGAUUACAAAGUCAUUGUUCAUACAAUUGGAAUGAUUGAAACAACUAAACGACAUACAGCUGCAAGUUUAAAGGAAGAAAUUAUGAAAUGUCUCAACGAGUAUGGCAUUGGGAUACACCAAAUUUAUUCCAAUACCACUGACAACGGCGCAAAUGUAGUUAAAGCGUCCAAAUUGCUACACGAUAUGCAGCAAGAAAGUUUAGCAAACAAAGAUGCUAUAAAUGAUGUUGAGGCAGAUCAUAUUGAGUCUCAAAUCGCUUCUGUGUUUUCUGUUGUUCGUUGUGCUGCUCAUACUAUUCAGCUAGCAGCAUAUGAUGUCAUAAAAACAAUUGAAAAGGACUUGGAAGAGUGCAGGACGAUUGUAAAAAAAUUGAGAACCUUAGUGAGAGCAGGAAAUACCGACAUCAGUUUGCCAUUCAUCGACAACAGAACUAGGUAUGCUAUGAUGGAAUCACUUUACCGAAUCAAAGAAUACAUUGAAAAUUUGGAUAAAAACAUGUACAUAAAUUGGUCAUUCGUUAAGGAUUUUUUCACCGCUUUUCAACCAAUCCUAAGUGCACCCUAAAACUUCAAAAUGAGCAGUAUAUUAUAGGAGACUUCUUCAGGGAUUGGCUUACUUGCGAACUAGAGCUUGUAGACUUGGUACCAGACAAUAUUUAUGCAGAUUCCUUCCUAAAUGCGAUGGAAAUAAGAAAAAAAUUUCCUUUUAGAAUAUAAGGCUUUCGUCGCUGCUCUAUAUCUAGAUCCAAGAUUUAAUUUUGAAGAAACACCUCUCCUCAGCUCUGAGCAAAAGGAUGUUGCAAUGGAUCACUUAAUAAGGACUUACGAAAUGAUCCAGAAAAAUCCAUCAGAAUAUGAGAAUGAUUGCACUUCUGGAGUUGUACCACAUACAACACAGGACAAUGAACUUCCAAGCACAUCGAAAGGGGCGUACCAUAAGUUAACGCUUCACGUAAGGUCAUUGGCAAAAUCGCAAAGUGCAACGACACCAAUCGUAAAACCUGACAUCAAACAAAAGCUGGUUAAUCUCUGUGUAAAAGGAAUGGAACCGUUCGACACAAAUGUCCUGGAAUACUGGAGAAAAUUUUAUCGGAAUUAGUGUGAGAUGUUGAAGUUAGCGGAGUUUCUGUUGAGCGGGCUUUCAGCGCACUUACUACAAUACUCACUAAGUUACGUACAAAAUUGUCAAAAAAAUUAAAUUUUGAUAUUCUCCACUUCUCAAAAUUAGAAAUUGAAGAAAAUAAAUAGAUAAAAUAAUGUGAUGUAAUAAUUUGCUUGGCAAAGUAUUAGAUCU
This is an RNA transcript of Rhagoletis pomonella (apple maggot), 2179 nucleotides long. RefSeq lists it as uncharacterized. The transcript is spliced from 3 exons. The record is from RefSeq and is a predicted model, not a curated record. Lineage: Eukaryota; Metazoa; Arthropoda; Insecta; Diptera; Tephritidae.